GAGUGUUUCCUUUUUCUUGCCAUCUCUUCCCUAACACUCAAUCUGUGAGCAAAUACUUUCAGAUAUCCCUCCAAAAUAAAUAAGCUUUACCUCUGCAACAAAUAAUAAAUUAUGAUAUCAUCAUCUUUGCUUAGACUACCACAAAGCCUCCUAACCAGUCUCUAGUUUUCUCAGUUAGGUCCUAGCAGGAUAUGGAUGGUGUACUCAACUUGAAGACAGCUGCUCUCCUUCUGACAGCCUGCUGAAAAUGCCAUUGGUUCAACACAACUAGAAGCCAGAAAGUGGAGUCUCUACAGGUCAGCCUCCUGAGACACAGAUGGAGAAGAAUGAAAAUUAAUAGAGACUGAUGCAUACGAAGCUUACAGAUAGUGGAAGAAAAGAGGUCAGUGGUCACCCAGGAUUCUAAGAGCAAGGAGGAGGAGUUUCUCCUCUCAAAAUCCAAUGUUCACCAGGUCGUGAUGCCUUCCUUUGAAUGAAGCAUUUGAGACUGUAUUUGUUUUUCUUUCAUAUGAAGGAAGAC
Canis lupus familiaris (dog) is the source of this 520-nucleotide long non-coding RNA. RefSeq lists it as uncharacterized. The transcript is spliced from 3 exons. NCBI's taxonomy places the organism in Eukaryota, Metazoa, Chordata, Mammalia, Carnivora, Canidae. The record is from RefSeq and is a predicted model, not a curated record.